GGGAAACUGAGGCUAAUCCGUCAUAGUUGGAGCGGCCUGGAACGGUGCUCCAUCCAAAGGUACGGUGAAAUGCAACCGCGCCGCUGUAGGAUAGGAUCGCUCUCGAUUAUGGUAGUUGGUGAGGUAAUGGCUCACCAAGCCUAUGAUCGAUAAGGGCCGUGGGAGCGGGAGCCCUGAGAUGGAUACUGAGACAAUGAUCCAGGCCUUACGAGGCGCAGCAGGCGCGAAACCUUUACAAUGCACGGCAGUGUGAUAAGGUUACCCGGAGUGCUAACUACAUAUAGUUGGCUGUUAUAGGUGUGUACAAAACCCUAUGAGAAAGGAGAGGGCAAGGCUGGUGCCAGCCGCCGCGGGAAAAACCAGCUCUACAAGUGGUCGGGAAUAUUAUUGGGCUUAAAGUGUCCGUAGCCCGGUUUGAUAAGUCCCUGGUUAAAUCUGACAGCUUUAACUGUCAGGUCGCUAGGGAAACUAUCUUACUGGAGGGUGGGGAAAGGUCUGAGGUACUCCAGGGGUAGCGGUGAAAUGCGAUAAUCCUCGGGGGACCACCAGUGGCGAAGGCGUCAGACUGGAACACGCCUGACGGUGAGGGACGAAAGCCAGGGGAGCGAACGGGAUUAGAUACCCCGGUAGUCCUGGCUGUAAACGAUGCGUGCUAGGUGUUGGUAGGGCUCUGAGCCGUACCAGUGCCGUAGGGAAACUGUUAAGCGCGCCGCCUGGGAAGUACGCUCGCAAGGGUGAAACUUA
Molecule: ribosomal RNA, 744 nt
Filed under: uncultured archaeon
Lineage: Archaea
Description: bacterial SSU rRNA
Rfam family: Archaeal small subunit ribosomal RNA
Source: RNAcentral